GUUCAAGUUUGAAAUAUACUGGGCUGGGGUAUUCUCAAAAAAGUGCAACCAGGAUGAUAAAGUAAACUAGAGUGGAUUAAAGGAACUGAGAAUUGGCUCAGAGAAGAGAAGACCUUGGAUGUAGACGAGAGUUGUCUUCAGUUACAGUAUUUGGGAAAGAAGGAUUAUAUUUUUUCCAUGUCACUUCAGAAGGUAGGAGUAAGAUCAAUGGGAAAUGUUAAGAAUGAAAAUUGCAUUCAUCCUACAAAGAAGUUUCCUAAAUCAUUACGAAUUGUUCUACCUUGAGUGUAGUGAGUUAUCUGACACUGGAGGAUUUAAACCAAUGGUAGAUCAUUACAUAGUAGAGAUAUGAACAUGAGCUAAAGCAUGAGGGCAGCAAAGAGGGGAGAACUUUGUUUCACCUAAAUGGCUCUUCAAACCUUUUUUAGCAUUAGUUUCUGCUUUGAUAUACUCUAUUAAAAUUUGGGGGAUAAUUGAUAAAUCUUCCAGGUGGUUUAUGGAUGGCCAGGGAGGAAAUUUGCCAUUGUUUUAAUUAUUUAAUUUUAUUUGCCUCUGUUUUUACACUUGGUAAAAAUUUGGAAGUGUUUCAGAUAGUGAAGAAAAAAAAGAAUUAAGAAAAACAUUCCAGGCCAGGUACAGGCUCAUGCCUGUAAUCCCAGCACUUUGGGAGGCUGAGGCAGGCAUAUUUCUUGAGCUCAGGAAUUUGACACCAGCCUGGCCAACAUGGUGAAACUCCAGCUCUACAAAAAUACAAAAAUUAGCCGGGUGUUGGUGGCUCGCGCCUGUAGUCUCAGCUACUUGGGAGGCCAAGGCAAGAGAAUGGCUUGUGCCCGGGAGGCAGAGGUUGCAGUGAGUCAAGAUUGAACCACUCCACUCCAGCCUGGGUGACAGAACAAGACGCUCUCUCAAAAAAAAAAAAAAAAAAAUCCAUACUUCCUCCUCCUAAUCAUUGAUAGGUAUCCUUCCUUUUUUUUUGUUGUUUUUUUGUUUAGUUUUGUUUUGUUUUUUGCCUACGAGUAUGUAAGUUCACAUUUAUGUAAAAUUUAUUUCUCAUAGUAUAUGCUAUUUAUAACCAUUUUCCAGUUAAUAUGUCAUGAGCAAUGUAUAUAGUUGUUAAAUAUUUGUACACAAUAUAAUUUUUAUUGAUGUAUAUUUCCUCAUUUCUUUUUUAAGUAGCAAACCAUUUCCUCCCAGUCUUCCCUUAGUUUUUUAUAAUCUCUCAAAUAAGUACUAAAUUUUCAGUUUUGCAGUGCUGUACUAUAAAUCACAGGCAGUAGUACUUUGCUUUUUACAACAGAUUAGUCUCUGUAUGUGUAUCCAUUUAUUUCUCAAACACUUAUAUAAGUGAUAAAUUGGCUGUGAUCAUUUCAGUUUGUUUUAAUCCUGUGGAUAUAAUAUUUUUCUUUAGUUUUUGAAGAAUUUAUUUUAGAAAAGCUUUAUUACUUUACAAAGUUUUCUUAUCAGGGGACAAUUGGUAAUUAUUAUACUCUGUGUAGCAAUUGUGUUAUAUCUAAUCUCUUUCCCUUUAAAGCCUGAAUGCUUCCAACUUUAUAAUUUGCUUUAGAGAGCCCAGUUUACCCUAUGGCUGACAAAUAGCAAACUUAGGAUAUGAUGCAAGAUAGAACAUGAUAAUGAUUCAAAACAGAACCAUAAGCAGGUAUUUUUGCUAUUUAUAAUAAUAUUUUGAGUGUAUCUAGUACCUUUUAAAUAAUAUAGUUUAAUGGAAGAAUAUAGUACAGUGGUAUAUUUUAUAGUCUAUGUAUGGCUCUGAAGUGUAUCCAGAGUUUACUUUUUAACCUUAAAUAAAUAGAUGAUUAGAAAUAGCAUUAAGUGUAUUUGACAAACCUAUAAAUUUCCCGUAAAGAAAUAAGCAAGUGUAUGUAUUGUAAAAGACAGUCUUUCCUCUGACUUAAUGUUGUAUCAGGGGCAUUUAGAGUCUACAAGAACCUAAAGUAAAUUUUAUGAAAUAUCUAGUGCAAAAUCUUUGGGAAAUUUCAAAAUUUAUGCUGAAAUCACCAUAUUUGUUUCCUUUGGUUUCUCUAACAAACCAAAAGAUCAACAUUGUCUCAUGCGAUUUAUCUUCUCAUUCCUUCCUAAAAAUAUUUCUGGAAAAUUAAUGGAGCUGGACCACCAAUUCUUCAAAUAUUGAAAACUCAAAAUCUAAGAGUUAUUUUAAUCUUGAAAUUAAUGAAAACAAGUUAAAGAGCCUUGUCUAAGUCAAAAAGUCCUCAGCAAAGCUGGUGAUAAUUAUUAUACUCCAAAAAAGGUGAAAAGAUAAUGGCUUCAAAUCCUGCCUUACAUUAUCCAGUCAAAAACUAAUAUAAAAAUAGUCAAUAUUUAAGCCUAUGUUUUCAUCGUAAGUAAUCAAAUACUUACAUAUUAUUAAUGUCUAAGGGAGUGGAAGUUAAAACAAUGAAAUUCAAUCGGGUCUUCUUUAAUAUUUACAAUUUUUGCUUUACAUUAGCAAUUCAGGUUUCACUGAUUUUAAAAUUGUGAACAAUCUGAAUUUGUGUGGAUUUAUUUGUGGUAGUUAAAAGUAAAUAUUAAGUGCAAGCUAUUUGCCAAGAGUGUUCUAGGUGCUAUGUUUGAUUUAGGAGGUAUAAUUCAAACAUGAGAAGUAGGAAAAGAUCCCUCAGAUCCCUGUCCUCAGAAGAAUUGACGGUACUUUCAGAGAUAUCGACAACAUAAAAGUACUAUGAGAGGAAAGCAGCGGUGCCUGAGGUGGGAGUGAUAGCUAGAUAAAUUAUUAGUGAACCAAGGUUUUCAGAUGUAAUGUUUGUCUACUCAAAAAGGGAAUCAAUUCUCUAAGAAUUUAAACCCAUAUAAUACUAUGAAUGUUAAACCAGUUGGGUUUAUGGUAUUAAUGAUUUAAUACAGCAACACUGACAAAAUCUCUUUUUCUCCCUUUAGUUCCAGUUAGUAAAUAUCAUAUUUUUUACUAUUUCAGAUGCCCCGUCUCUGACUGCCAAGGUGGUAAAUUAUCACAUUUUACUGUAUAUUCAAAUGUUAAUUACUAAAUGGCAUAAUUUUAACAAUUAAAUUUACUAUUUUGUGAGCCAACUAACAACAAUGAUGUUAAGCAUAGGAUGCCCAAUAUAAUAAUAAGCACCUUGUAUGUACAGAAGAUUUUACAUGCACAAAUUCAUUUAAUCCACACAAAUCCGAAGUUUCAGGUCUGUUUUACAAAUUUUGUAUGCCCAAUGCUUAGAGAGAUCAAGUAAUUUGAUAAUACUCUUAUAGGGAGGAUCCAAACCCAUGGUUUUAUGUAUAUUUGUUUGUUUGUUUUUUGCUUUUACUUUAGAACAGUUUCUAUACAUUGUACAGGUUGGAUUGGGACAGAAAAUAAAAUUUAGAAGCUGUUUUUAUUGUCAACAAUCUUAUAAUUAAAUAUAUCUGCAAAAUAUAAAUAUAAAACAAGUAGUCUUUAUUAUCUGGAAAUAAAUGUGAAGAGCAUAUUUAAGCAAGUGAUGAAUAAAUUAGAAAAUAUGCAGGCAGUAAAAAAUGGUUAAUAUCAGUCAUGAAUUUAAUUUUCUAAUUUAUUUUUGAAAGCCAUAAUCUUCAUAAAAUAAUUCUAGAAUUUUUUUCUUCAGCCAAUCAACAGAGAUCAUCCUUUUAAUUUGAAACUUGUUUUUAUUUUUAAGAUCCCUUUGUUGAUCUAGCAAGUGGCCAAGUUCCUUUGCCUCCUGCUAGAAGGUUACCAGGUGAAAAUGUCAAAACUAACAGAACAUCACAGGACUAUGAUCAGCUUCCUUCAUGUUCAGAUGGUUCACAGGCACCAGCCAGACCCCCUAAACCACGACCGCGCAGGACUGCACCAGAAAUUCACCACAGAAAACCCCAUGGGCCUGAGGCGGCAUUGGAAAAUGUCGAUGCAAAAAUUGCAAAACUCAUGGGAGAGGGUUAUGCCUUUGAAGAGGUGAAGAGAGCCUUAGAGAUAGCCCAGAAUAAUGUCGAAGUUGCCCGGAGCAUCCUCCGAGAAUUUGCCUUCCCUCCUCCAGUAUCCCCACGUCUAAAUCUAUAGCAGCCAGAACUGUAGACACCAAAAUGGAAAGCAAUCGAUGUAUUCCAAGAGUGUGGAAAUAAAGAGAACUGAGAUGGAAUUCAAGAGAGAAGUGUCUCCUCCUCGUGUAGCAGCUUGAGAAGAGGCUUGGGAGUGCAGCUUCUCAAAGGAGACCGAUGCUUGCUCAGGAUGUCGACAGCUGUGGCUUCCUUGUUUUUGCUAGCCAUAUUUUUAAAUCAGGGUUGAACUGACAAAAAUAAUUUAAAGACGUUUACUUCCCUUGAACUUUGAACCUGUGAAAUGCUUUACCUUGUUUACAGUUUGGCAAAGUUGCAGUUUGUUCUUGUUUUUAGUUUAGUUUUGUUUUGGUGUUUUGAUACCUGUACUGUGUUCUUCACAGACCCUUUGUAGCGUGGUCAGGUCUGCUGUAACAUUUCCCACCAACUCUCUUGCUGUCCACAUCAACAGCUAAAUCAUUUAUUCAUAUGGAUCUCUACCAUCCCCAUGCCUUGCCCAGGUCCAGUUCCAUUUCUCUCAUUCACAAGAUGCUUUGAAGGUUCUGAUUUUCAACUGAUCAAACUAAUGCAAAAAAAAAAAAGUAUGUAUUCUUCACUACUGAGUUUCUUCUUUGGAAACCAUCACUAUUGAGAGAUGGGAAAAACCUGAAUGUAUAAAGCAUUUAUUUGUCAAUAAACUGCCUUUUGUAAGGGGUUUUCACAUAA
Molecule: long non-coding RNA, 4722 nt
Filed under: Homo sapiens (human)
Lineage: Eukaryota; Metazoa; Chordata; Mammalia; Primates; Hominidae
Description: non-protein coding lnc-CD47-9:1
Source: RNAcentral